ACGUGGGUAAUCUACCUUCGGGUGGGGAAUAACGUCUCGAAAGAGACGCUAAUACCGCAUAAUGCAGCGGCACCUAAUGGUGAAUAGUUGUUAAAGCGGGGGAUCGCAAGACCUCGCGCCUGAAGAGGAGCCUGCGGCAGAUUAGCUUGUUGGUGAGGUAAUGGCUCACCAAGGCUGCGAUCUGUAGCUGGUCUGAGAGGACGGCCAGCCACACUGGCACUGACACACGGGCCAGACUCCUACGGGAGGCAGCAGUGGGGAAUUUUGGGCAAUGGACGAAAGUCUGACCCAGCAACGCCG
Molecule: ribosomal RNA, 300 nt
Filed under: uncultured Chloracidobacterium sp.
Lineage: Bacteria; Pseudomonadati; Acidobacteriota; Blastocatellia; Chloracidobacteriales; Chloracidobacteriaceae
Description: bacterial SSU rRNA
Rfam family: Bacterial small subunit ribosomal RNA
Source: RNAcentral